Canis lupus familiaris (dog) is the source of this 952-nucleotide long non-coding RNA. RefSeq lists it as uncharacterized. The record is from RefSeq and is a predicted model, not a curated record. NCBI's taxonomy places the organism in Eukaryota, Metazoa, Chordata, Mammalia, Carnivora, Canidae. The transcript has 5 exons.
CCUGCCACAUCCUCUCCCCACUGCGCAGGCCUUUGGGGAAUGAGCGUGUUUGUGAUGGCUUGGAAAUGACGGUAGAGCUGCUCGUGGAUGAGUGCUGGGUAUCAGGCUGGCAGAGAGAGCACCCUGGCGUAAAGGAGAGUUUGCAUCUGCAGAGAUGUGAGUAAGCAUAUUCACAUUCCAGAAGGUCUCUCUUCUCAAGUCACUGGAGGACCAGCCCCCAAAUUCCCUACCCUGACGAUGUCUUGAGUUCACUUUGCCACGGCCUUUCCAAGACACCGCAGAUUUGACCUACGCUCCUCCCGCUCAAUCAAAGGAUGAGACGUUUGGAACACCUUCAGUGGCAAUGCUAUCCAAAAUCUGACCAAGAGCCACCCAGCUACGCUCUCGUCAUACCUUGACAUGGGAAAUUAGAGGUAAUGAUUGAACUUGCUGUGGCCUCAGUCUCAACACAGAACCUGGAAUUGGACCCCUCUCUCCAUCUUGUGCUGCUUCCUAGACCAGAGACGAAUCCACACUGGGUGGAGUUGAUCCCCUGACUAGAGAAGUUGAAUAUUCUGAAAGAGAUGUUCUAAAUGCUUAGAUCUUUAUGCCAACAUAGCUUGCCAAGUGAGUGCUGAAGAUGUGUAAGAACUGGAGGACAUGUAUUCAGGAAUAUAAAGGGUGAUUGAGGCAAAACACUCCUGCUCUCAAAGGACUUACCACCUAAUGGCGCAGAAUGAGACACAUGCCCACAAAUCAAUGCCAUCCAAGAUAGCAAGGAGAAAAUAAAAGUGUUCAGAGGAGAGAGAGCCAUUCCCUCAACCUGAAGAAAUCAGGCCAAGUAAUACACUUAACGUUGUUUUGCCACAAUUUGUCCCUCCACAAAAUGGAACUAAAUUUCUUGCCACCUGGCUCUUAAGACUAUGUUAAGGGCAUAAUGAGCCCAUUAAAAUAAAAGUGUUUUUGCAAGCAA